RNAcentral lists this ribosomal RNA (124 nucleotides) under Acinetobacter baumannii. Its description in RNAcentral is "partial 23S ribosomal RNA". It matches the Rfam family "Bacterial large subunit ribosomal RNA", at positions 2803 to 2925 of the family's 2925-position model. Lineage: Bacteria; Pseudomonadati; Pseudomonadota; Gammaproteobacteria; Moraxellales; Moraxellaceae. The record is from RNAcentral.
GACUAUAAGUCUCCUGAAGGAACGUUAAAGACGAUGACGUUGAUAGGCCGGGUGUGUAAGCGCAGCGAUGCGUUGAGCUAACCGGUACUAAUGAACCGUGCGGCUUAACCUUACAACGCCGAAG